This 253-nucleotide ribosomal RNA is filed under the name uncultured bacterium. RNAcentral's name for it is "partial 16S ribosomal RNA". It matches the Rfam family "Bacterial small subunit ribosomal RNA", at positions 524 to 776 of the family's 1533-position model. The record is from RNAcentral.
GACGUAGGGGGCCAGCGUUGCUCGGAAUUACUGGGCGUAAAGGGUUCGUAGGCGGUGCGGCAAGUCGGGAGUGAAAUCUCUGGGCUUAACUCGGAGGCUGCUUCCGAAACUGCCGUGCUCGAGUGCGGGAGAGGCGAGUGGAAUUGCAGGUGUAGCGGUGAAAUGCGUAGAUAUCUGCAGGAACACCUGUGGCGAAAGCGGCUCACUGGACCACAACUGACGCUGAGGCGCGAAAGCUAGGGGAGCAAACAGG